AAGCGAAGCCCUAAGAUGGGCGGAGAGAAGCAGAUGUGGAGGUGAUGGCGAAGACCCAGAUAUAAGCAGCUCCUCUAGGUGUUUGGAGAGUCUUCAAGUGGCCAGAUUUGGGCAGGCUACAUCUCUGCCUCUCUCUGGGGGCAACCAAGACUUGGAGCUAUUAGUAAUACAGCUGCCCUUAACCCCAGUGGCGAGGGUGAGAGAAGAGUGUUCCCUGCAUGGCCAAGAUACUCUUUUCUGCUGCAGAGGAAGUGUAGAGGGGAGAUAGAAGAACCCUUAUCAAGGAGGCUGAGCUGUGAGACUUUUUAGCCCAAAUCCAGGUGCAGAAGUCAAAUUUCGGUCUUCCCAGCCCAUUUCUGUCCCAGUCAAGGCAUGUAGCCUGGUGGAACCAAUCUCACCAAAACAGCUUCUCUCCUUAGGAGCUCCUGGGCUGCUGCGCUCCUCACAGCUCCGGGUCAUUAUGCCAGAAAAAAGAAGCCAAGAGGAGAGAUUUUAGGGGAGCACCCUGACAGAGAGGAGAGGCAGAGCGAGUUGCUAAGUAAAGCCCAUGCAUGCAUUUUC
Molecule: small RNA, 561 nt
Filed under: Pongo abelii (Sumatran orangutan)
Lineage: Eukaryota; Metazoa; Chordata; Mammalia; Primates; Hominidae
Description: sense intronic
Source: RNAcentral